AUUGAACGCUGGCGGCAUGCCUUACACAUGCAAGUCGAACGGCAGCACGGGAGCAAUCCUGGUGGCGAGUGGCGAACGGGUGAGUAAUAUAUCGGAACGUGCCCAGUCGUGGGGGAUAACGUAGCGAAAGCUACGCUAAUACCGCAUACGAUCUAUGGAUGAAAGCGGGGGAUCGCAAGACCUCGCGCGAUUGGAGCGGCCGAUAUCAGAUUAGGUAGUUGGUGAGGUAAAGGCUCACCAAGCCGACGAUCUGUAGCUGGUCUGAGAGGACGACCAGCCACACUGGGACUGAGACACGGCCCAGACUCCUACGGGAGGCAGCAGUGGGGAAUUUUUGGACAAUGGGCGAAAGCCUGAUCCAGCAAUGCCGCGUGCAGGAAGAAGGCCUCGGUU
Molecule: ribosomal RNA, 393 nt
Filed under: uncultured bacterium
Lineage: Bacteria
Description: bacterial SSU rRNA
Rfam family: Bacterial small subunit ribosomal RNA
Source: RNAcentral